Long non-coding RNA from Triticum aestivum (bread wheat), 323 nucleotides. RefSeq lists it as uncharacterized. The record is from RefSeq and is a predicted model, not a curated record. The transcript is spliced from 3 exons. Lineage: Eukaryota; Viridiplantae; Streptophyta; Magnoliopsida; Poales; Poaceae.
AAAAAAAGUGAGGAGACAAAGGAAGAGGGAGAGGUAUGCACGAUAUUAAAAAGGAGACGUGAGGCAAGGGAUCAUAAGAAAACUACAUAUGCUAUUCCAAAUGGAAAGCGCAUUCCAUAACACCCGUGGGCAUACCGCCUGAGAAGCCCACGGCGCACUCUGCUGUCACCCAGCUAUGAUACACACCAGCGGCGGAAGAGUGUGAAGCAGGUUGGUUUAUUAAGAGCAGGUUGAUACAUGCAAGGACAGAAUUGUCGCUGCCCUGGACACACUAUGGCCUACAUCUUCAUGGGAGAGAAGUGCUGCUUCUGGGCAGGAAGCAG